Molecule: long non-coding RNA, 725 nt
Organism: Vanessa tameamea
Lineage: Eukaryota; Metazoa; Arthropoda; Insecta; Lepidoptera; Nymphalidae
Exons: 2
Source: RefSeq, a predicted model, not a curated record
AUUGCUAAAAUGACGUAUGUAAAUCUUUUCAAAAACUAAACAAAAUAUGAAUAACAUCAAAAAAGAAAAACAUCCAUAAACUUAAAUUCUAAAAUGAAUAAAUAUGAGUCAAGCGUUCACCGAAUCAAUGAGAAACAAAAUUAAACCAGUGCCAAAACCGAUAGUUUUGGAUAAUUUAUCGAAAACUUUAACGAAAAUAAUAAGCAAAUUAAAAAAACAAAAUAAGGUUAAGGCGUGUACAAAACCGAACGGGGAUUGGUCACAAGUCGAUACCCGGAUCUGCAAUAUCGUCACUUGGACCGGAGCGAUCGUUAUCACGGCUGUGAUCCUGAGAUCGCUGUAUUUAAUGUAUAUUAAACCAGAAGGAACAUAGCUCAGAAAAGACCUACAAAAAAAUGUAACCUCUUGAUCCAGUGACAAAUUAUCAUAUAAAUGUUCAAUUUAAGGCCAAAGCAGAAUAAAUUGUAUCGCAUUAAGAGAGCUAUAUACUUACGAUCUAAAAAGAAUUGCGCAAUUCGUGCAUUCAAUAAACAAAUAUAUAACAUCAUUAUUUGGACGGGUAUUCUGUUCGUCAUAUUGCUGGUCCUGAGGAUCUUGUACAUUCAUUAUGUGAAACAAAACAGUGCCUACAGUGACACGCAAUUAUACUACCGAAGAUGAUUUGAAACCGUAAAUAACAUUUGAAUGUGAAUUGAGUUCGUCAAUGUAAUAAAGCUUUAAAUUUA